UACAGAGGUCUCAAGCGUUGUUCGGAUACAUUGGGCGUAAAGGGUGCGUAGGCGGCGCGGUAAGUCGGGUGUGAAAUCUCGGAGCUUAACUCCGAAACUGCAUUCGAUACUGCCGUGCUUGAGGACUGGAGAGGAGACUGGAAUUUACGGUGUAGCGGUGAAAUGCGUAGAUAUCGUAAGGAAGACCAGUGGCGAAGGCGGGUCUCUGGACAGUUCCUGACGCUGAGGCACGAAGGUCAGGGGAGCAAACGGG
RNAcentral lists this ribosomal RNA (253 nucleotides) under uncultured bacterium. RNAcentral's name for it is "partial 16S ribosomal RNA". It matches the Rfam family "Bacterial small subunit ribosomal RNA", at positions 524 to 776 of the family's 1533-position model. The record is from RNAcentral.